Molecule: transfer RNA, 64 nt
Filed under: Lipoptena sp.
Lineage: Eukaryota; Metazoa; Arthropoda; Insecta; Diptera; Hippoboscidae
Description: tRNA-Ser
Source: RNAcentral
GAAAUAUUAAUAAAAAAGCUUCUAACUUUUUUACUUUUAAUGGAUAAACUCCAUUUAUAUUUCU